AUGCCCCAGUAACGGCGAGUGAAGCGGCAAGAGCUCAAAUUUGAAAUCUGGCCUCCCCCGGGGGUCCGAGUUGUAAUUUGCAGAGGAUGCUUCGGGCGCGGCCCCCGUCUAAGUUCCUUGGAACAGGACGUCAGAGAGGGUGAGAAUCCCGUCUUGGGCGGGCGGCCCGCGCCCGUGUGAAGCUCCUUCGACGAGUCGAGUUGUUUGGGAAUGCAGCUCUAAGCGGGUGGUAAAUUUCAUCUAAAGCUAAAUACCGGCCGGAGACCGAUAGCGCACAAGUAGAGUGAUCGAAAGGUUAAAAGCACCUUGAAAAGGGAGUUAAACAGCACGUGAAAUUGUUGAAAGGGAAGCGCUUGCGGCCAGACUCGGGGGGCGGGGUUCAGCGGGCGCUCGUCGCCCGUGCACUGCCCGCUCCCCGGGCCAGCAUCAGCUUCGACGGCCGGUCAAAGGCCCCCGGAAUGUGUCGUCUCUAGGGACGUCUUAUAGCCGGGGGUGCAAUGCGGCCCGUCGAGACUGAGGAACGCGCUCCGGCUCGGAUGC
Molecule: ribosomal RNA, 540 nt
Filed under: Trichophyton rubrum
Lineage: Eukaryota; Fungi; Ascomycota; Eurotiomycetes; Onygenales; Arthrodermataceae
Description: eukaryotic LSU rRNA
Rfam family: Eukaryotic large subunit ribosomal RNA
Source: RNAcentral